RNAcentral lists this long non-coding RNA (259 nucleotides) under Mytilus galloprovincialis (Mediterranean mussel). The record is from RNAcentral. Lineage: Eukaryota; Metazoa; Mollusca; Bivalvia; Mytilida; Mytilidae.
AACAGUUCAAAGCAAGGGAUUCAUGUGUUAUACGCCAUACUUGUGCAAAUAAAAACAGUCGAUUUAUAUAUCUGUGUUCGAUAUCAGUUUGACCACAUCAAUGAUAAUUUAUGGUAACACAGAUUUGUAAAUAGGAUGAUGACGAAAAGGAGGAGGAUGCAGUGGCGAAUUAUAUGCAUAUUCGGGUUGAAAGCAUGUUAAUACAAUUUUAUUAUUAAUCUUGCUUUGUACAAGACUGAAAUGCUGCGUCGAUUGUUUA